AGGUUGAGCGGGCAGUGUCGGCGGGGCGGAGCUGCUUCCUGUAGGCUCUGAAGCAGAACCCUGCCCCGCUCACUUGGUGGUCGGCUGAAUCCAGUUCCUUGGGCUUACAGGGCUGAGGUUCCCAAUCCUCGAUGGCCGUGAGCCCCGGCUGUUCUGCGCUCCUGGGGCCUGCCGCGUUUCUGCCUGAACUCUCCACACUGCCCCUCCAGCAACAGCAGGUCAAGCCCUCCUCACGCUUCGAAUCCCUCCGCCUGCAGCUGGAGAAUGUUUUCUGCUUUUAAGGGCUCAUGGGAUUAGACUGGGCCACCCAGAUAACCCAGGAUCAUCCUUUCUUGUAUUGUCAAGAACCCUAAUCACAUCUGCGAAGUCCCCUGUGCCACUAGUAGGGUAACACAGUCAUGGUUCUGGGGAUUAGGGGGUGGCAUCCCGAGGGGGCCGUUCUGCUCACCACAAACCGCCCUAUAUAGCACAGGGUGGCCAUCCCUAGUGGGCUGCUAGAUGGAUCUUGCCCUGUGGGCACACUCCUGCCACGCCAGGCUAGGACGAAGGUCCCUCCAGGCCCCAGCAGACUCCCUGUGCGCCUGGCCUUGGAGUGCGUGUCCCGCGUGUGUCCUGUGCCGGUUCCCGCCUUGCCUCCUUACCGACGCGCCUCCCUUCUGGCCUCCAAUCCCCACGGCGGCACUGUGGCCGCAAACGGGUCCACCAGGUAACCUCGUGGUUUUUCUUUUCAAUGCACAAGUAAAAUGUCUCCCCACCGUCUCAUCAAUCUGAGGGACAGGAGUAAUCAACACAGAACUGUGCUGCAGGUACAGCCAAUUAAUGACAACACUUGUUCCUGCAGAACAGAUCCAGCUUCAUGAUCUUUUAGAAGAGAGUUCUAAAAUCAAAUCCUUUACCUCCCAGCCUGAUUACUCUUCAGUCAACAGAAACUUACCAAGCACCUUUUUUGUGUGUGCCAGGCACUGUUCCAGGCACUGGGAUAGUGUGAGAUCCCUUUCUCCCACCCCACACCCCACAGGACAGAGGUUCUUGACCCCCACCUACACAUCAGAAUCCACCAGGAAGCUUUACAAAAUUCCCGGAGAGAUUCUGAUGUCAUUGAUCUUGGGGGUACAGCUUGUUAAAAGCUGCCCAGUUGAUUUGAAUGUUCAGCUAAAUUUGAAACUGCUACACCCCAGGACAUCUGAUUAAUUACACCCACAGCCUUCAAACCCAGCCCAGUUCCACUUAAAAAGUUUUUCAAAGAUGCAUAGAGCAUGACUGAGGAUUCUAGAUAGGAAAAGGAGAAAUUUUAGGCUAUUAAAGUGCCUAUUACAAUUACA
RNAcentral lists this long non-coding RNA (1322 nucleotides) under Homo sapiens (human). Its description in RNAcentral is "HSALNT0402109". Lineage: Eukaryota; Metazoa; Chordata; Mammalia; Primates; Hominidae. The record is from RNAcentral.